This 385-nucleotide long non-coding RNA is filed under the name Monodelphis domestica (gray short-tailed opossum). RNAcentral's name for it is "lncRNA (ENSMODG00000032606.2)". Lineage: Eukaryota; Metazoa; Chordata; Mammalia; Didelphimorphia; Didelphidae. The record is from RNAcentral.
UUUAUAUUUAUCCUAUAUAUAGUUGCUUUGUACAUAUUUAUUUUCUUGUUGUCUCUCCCAUUAGACUGAGUUCCUUGAGAGCAAGGCCCCUUUUUGCAUCCUCAGUGUCUUCUCAGAGAAGACAGACAGACUGCUUGAAUGGAGAGACUGAGAACAGAGUGAACAAUGAGGAGUCCAUUUCAAUAAUCCAGAUGCAGUUCAGUAUCAUGGCUAUAGUUCUGGACUUGUAGUCAAGGAGGUUUGGACUGAAACCUGUCUCUGACACUUAUAAGAUUCCUCAUCUGUAAAACGAGUUGGAGAAGAAAUGGAAAACCAACCCAAAUGGGGUCAAAGAGAGAACAUGACUGGAAACAACUGAGCAACAAUAAAAAGUAAGCACUUUUCA